Molecule: transfer RNA, 107 nt
Filed under: Chloropicon primus
Lineage: Eukaryota; Viridiplantae; Chlorophyta; Chloropicophyceae; Chloropicales; Chloropicaceae
Description: tRNA-Lys
Source: RNAcentral
AUCUAUGUAGUUUGGUAGAGCGCCAGACUUUUACUCUUAGUACGGGGAUCUACUCUCGAAAAAGUCCAGUUAUCUGGUGGUCGUGGGUUCGAGCCCCACAUGCGGUG